CACCAGUUGUCACGCCAGUGGCACAGCUGGGUAGCUAUGUGCGGACGGGAUAAGCGCUGAAAGCAUCUAAGCGUGAAGCCCCCUUCAAGAUGAGACUUCCCAUAGCGCAAGCUAGUAAGACCCCUUAUAGACGAUGAGGUUGAUAGGUUCGGUGUGGAAGUGCAGUAAUGCAUGGAGCUGACGAAUACUAAUCGGUCGAGGACUUAUCCACA
Molecule: ribosomal RNA, 212 nt
Filed under: Brevibacillus laterosporus
Lineage: Bacteria; Bacillati; Bacillota; Bacilli; Caryophanales; Paenibacillaceae
Description: partial 23S ribosomal RNA
Rfam family: Bacterial large subunit ribosomal RNA
Source: RNAcentral